UACGGAGGGGGCUAGCGUUGUUCGGAAUUACUGGGCGUAAAGGGCGCGUAGGCGGGCGAUCAAGUCAGGGGUGAAAGGCCUGGGCUCAACCUGGGAAUUGCCUUUGAAACUGAUUGUCUAGAGUCCGGAAGAGGAUGGCGGAAUUCCCAGUGUAGAGGUGAAAUUCGUAGAUAUUGGGAAGAACACCAGUGGCGAAGGCGGCCAUCUGGUCCGGUACUGACGCUGAGGAGCGAAAGCGUGGGGAGCAAACAGG
This 253-nucleotide ribosomal RNA is filed under the name uncultured bacterium. RNAcentral's name for it is "partial 16S ribosomal RNA". It matches the Rfam family "Bacterial small subunit ribosomal RNA", at positions 524 to 776 of the family's 1533-position model. The record is from RNAcentral.